This 418-nucleotide ribosomal RNA is filed under the name uncultured bacterium. Its description in RNAcentral is "bacterial SSU rRNA". It matches the Rfam family "Bacterial small subunit ribosomal RNA", at positions 362 to 773 of the family's 1533-position model. The record is from RNAcentral.
UUGUUCGCAAUGGGCGCAAGCCUGACGACGCAACGCCGCGUGGAGGAUGAAGGUCUUCGGAUUGUAAACUCCUGUUGCCCGGGACGAAUGGCUCCGACCUAACACGUCGGAGUGUGACGGUACCGGGUGAGGAAGCACCGGCUAACUCCGUGCCAGCAGCCGCGGUAAUACGGAGGGUGCAAGCGUUGUCCGGAUUUAUUGGGUUUAAAGGGUGCGUAGGCGGCCCAUUAAGUCAGUGGUGAAAGCCCGGGGCUCAACCCCGGAACCGCCAUUGAUACUGGUGGGCUUGAGUAUGGACGAGGUUGGCGGAAUUGAGGGUGUAGCGGUGAAAUGCUUAGAUACCCUCAAGAACACCGAUUGCGUAGGCAGCUAACUAGGCCAUAACUGACGCUGAGGCACGAAAGCGUGGGGAGCGAAC